Molecule: transfer RNA, 81 nt
Filed under: Myxococcales bacterium
Lineage: Bacteria; Pseudomonadati; Myxococcota; Myxococcia; Myxococcales
Description: tRNA-Leu
Rfam family: tRNA
About the family: Transfer RNA (tRNA) molecules are approximately 80 nucleotides in length. Their secondary structure includes four short double-helical elements and three loops (D, anti-codon, and T loops).
Source: RNAcentral
GCGAGAGUGGCGGAAUGGUAGACGCGCGGGUCUUAGAAGCCCGUGGGCACCCCCGUGGGGGUUCAAGUCCCCCCUCUCGCA